AAUAUGCACAUAGUAAGCUUACUGUACGAUACGAAUAUCGAUAGCGUUGACAACUGCCACGUAUGACCGGUUGCCAUCGCUGGUCAAGUUCUGUUUCGUAAAACGUUCUUUUUCACCAAGCCAACAGCCGAUAUAGUCGUGCUUAAAGAAAGUGUGUUAAAAGUUAAAAAAGUGUGAAGUAUUGAUUCACGUGUAACCGUCGGUUGGUGCGCAGCAAUAAUUGAUUCUCAUCAGUGACGAAUCCCAAUAAACAACUUUCAGAUUGCGGAUUUCGGGGCACAGAUUGUGCCCCACGUAUAGACUUUUAAGGAGUUAAGAAGGUUCAGGAGAGAGAAGUUCGAGUGAUAACCUAAAACAUCUAAAGCGUCCCGAGAAGCACCCCUCAGGGUGAACUCCUAGGAGGGGUUCUUCAGCCCGUAAAGAUGGAAACUUAGCACGGAUGCGUUGCUACGAAUUUGAUGCGGCGGAUAGAUCGCGUCUCAGCAAGAAGCACCCCAGCAGGAUGUAUUGCUUUCAUGUCAUAGUUUUUUUGUUGCUGAGAUGACCAAUGUCUUGGACUGCGAGCCGUGUCAGCUCCAACCUCAAUUUCAUAUAUUUUCGGCAAAAUAAAUGAAGUAUUAAUGCAUAAAUGUUUAUUUUUGAGUAAAUUUAUAGAAUAAUUGUU
Long non-coding RNA from Drosophila santomea, 664 nucleotides. RefSeq lists it as uncharacterized. Lineage: Eukaryota; Metazoa; Arthropoda; Insecta; Diptera; Drosophilidae. The record is from RefSeq and is a predicted model, not a curated record. The transcript has 2 exons.